This 515-nucleotide long non-coding RNA is filed under the name Prunus persica (peach). RNAcentral's name for it is "long non-coding RNA (PPER_LNC000303)". The record is from RNAcentral. Lineage: Eukaryota; Viridiplantae; Streptophyta; Magnoliopsida; Rosales; Rosaceae.
GCAAGGCCAGAAUUUCUUAGUGAAGAAGAUAUCUUCAUCUGUGUCGUCUUCCAAUCAAACACAGAUAUAUUUGGUCGCCCUCAUCGAAUACAUGUAUCUUUGCAUAUUUAGUCAUCUUGUGUGCCGUGUGGAAUGUACGUACUAAAGAUGUUGAAAAUUCACACACACAAGAAAACGUAGAAAUAUUACACCAAGGCAUAUGCAUAUUUGCUGGAAAAAAAAAAAAAAGCAUAUUAACUCAAGGUUGAUUGGAACAAGCUCUGAUACCACUAUUAGUUUAAGGAAAAAGAGGUUUGAGGAAUGAUUGAUGGUGUUUAGGACAAUAAUUUAACUUGGAAUGGAAAACUUUUGAAAGAGUGACAGAGUAGUUUUAUAUUCUAUUGAUUGAAGUCAAUACACGGCUUUAAUACUGAGUUGACUGAUUGCUUGAGUUGGACAACUGUAGUUUCCACCUUACAUUUUUGAAUAGGCAUCAAGCCUAUAAAUAGGAGAGACUUAAAUCGACAUAUGCUUAG